GAGACACCCUUAUGGGGCAGGACUUGCUUCAGUGGGGCUUUGGUGCUGAGUCUGCCCCCUGAGUGUGUCUCU
Myotis lucifugus (little brown bat) is the source of this 72-nucleotide non-coding RNA. Lineage: Eukaryota; Metazoa; Chordata; Mammalia; Chiroptera; Vespertilionidae. The record is from Rfam.